AAUGAACGCUGGCGGCGUGCCUAACACAUGCAAGUCGCGCGCGAAAAGGCGCAAGCCUUAGUAGAGCGGCGGACGGGUGAGUAACACGUGGGUAAUCUGCCUAGGAGCGGGGGAUAACCU
Molecule: ribosomal RNA, 120 nt
Filed under: uncultured bacterium
Lineage: Bacteria
Description: partial 16S ribosomal RNA
Rfam family: Bacterial small subunit ribosomal RNA
Source: RNAcentral